This 505-nucleotide ribosomal RNA is filed under the name uncultured bacterium. RNAcentral's name for it is "partial 16S ribosomal RNA". It matches the Rfam family "Bacterial small subunit ribosomal RNA", at positions 28 to 507 of the family's 1533-position model. The record is from RNAcentral.
GACGAACGCUGGCGGCGUGCCUAAUACAUGCAAGUAGAACGCACAGUUUAUACCGUAGCUUGAUCCACCAUAAACUGUGAGUUGCGAACGGGUGAGUAACGCGUAGGUAACCUGCCUGGUAGCGGGGGAUAACUAUUGGAAACGAUAGCUAAUACCGCAUAAUAUUGAUUAUUGCAUGAUAAUUGAUUGAAAGAUGCUAUUGCAUCACUACCAGAUGGACCUGCGUUGUAUUAGCUAGUAGGUGAGGUAACGGCUCACCUAGGCGACGAUACAUAGCCGACCUGGGAGGGUGAUCGGCCACACUGGGACUGAGACACGGCCCAGACUCCUACGGGAGGCAGCAGUAGGGAAUCUUCGGCAAUGGACGAAAGUCUGACCGAGCAACGCCGCGUGAGUGAAGAAGGUUUUCGGAUCGUAAAGCUCUGUUGUAAGAGAAGAACGGGUGUGAGAGUGGAAAGUUCACACUGUGACGGUAUCUUACCAGAAAGGGACGGCUAACUACGUG